CGCGCAGGCGGCCAGGUAAGUCGAAUGUGAAAGCCCCCCGGCUCAACUGGGGAGGGUCAUUCGAUACUGCUUGGCUUGAAGGUAGGAGAGGGAAGCGGAAUUUCAGGUGUAGUGGUGAAAUGCGUAGAUAUCUGAAGGAACACCAGUGGCGAAGGCGGCUUUCUGGCCUAUUCUUGACGCUGAGGCGCGAAAGCUAGGGGAGCGAACG
RNAcentral lists this ribosomal RNA (208 nucleotides) under uncultured bacterium. RNAcentral's name for it is "partial 16S ribosomal RNA". It matches the Rfam family "Bacterial small subunit ribosomal RNA", at positions 568 to 774 of the family's 1533-position model. The record is from RNAcentral.